GCCCUGAUAGCCCAGUGGAUAAGGCGUCGGCCUCCUAAGCCGGAAGUCCCGGGUUCGACCCCCGGUCAGGGUU
Molecule: non-coding RNA, 73 nt
Organism: Tieghemiomyces parasiticus
Lineage: Eukaryota; Fungi; Kickxellomycota; Dimargaritomycetes; Dimargaritales; Dimargaritaceae
Source: the annotation of a GenBank genome assembly